RNAcentral lists this transfer RNA (74 nucleotides) under Bdellovibrionales bacterium. RNAcentral describes it as "tRNA-Cys". It matches the Rfam family "tRNA". Rfam says of the family: Transfer RNA (tRNA) molecules are approximately 80 nucleotides in length. Their secondary structure includes four short double-helical elements and three loops (D, anti-codon, and T loops). Lineage: Bacteria; Pseudomonadati; Bdellovibrionota; Bdellovibrionia; Bdellovibrionales. The record is from RNAcentral.
GGUGGUGUAGCCAAGCGGUUAGGCAGAGGACUGCAAAUCCUUGAACGCUGGUUCGAAUCCAGUCACCACCUCCA